Molecule: ribosomal RNA, 253 nt
Filed under: uncultured bacterium
Lineage: Bacteria
Description: partial 16S ribosomal RNA
Rfam family: Bacterial small subunit ribosomal RNA
Source: RNAcentral
UACGUAGGGUGCGAGCGUUAAUCGGAAUUACUGGGCGUAAAGCGUGCGCAGGCGGUUUUGUAAGACAGAGGUGAAAUCCCCGGGCUCAACCUGGGAACUGCCUUUGUGACUGCAACGCUAGAGUACGGCAGAGGGGGAUGGAAUUCCGCGUGUAGCAGUGAAAUGCGUAGAUAUGCGGAGGAACACCGAUGGCGAAGGCAAUCCCCUGGGCCUGUACUGACGCUCAUGCACGAAAGCGUGGGGAGCAAACAGG